CCUACGGGUGGCAGCAGUGGGGAAUAUUGGGCAAUGGGCGCAAGCCUGACCCAGCAACGCUGCGUGAAGGAAGAAGGCUUUCGGGUUGUAAACUUCCUUUCUAAGGGACGAAGCAAGUGACGGUACCUGAGGAAUAAGCCACGGCUAACUACGUGCCAGCAGCCGCGGUAAUACGUAGGUGGCAAGCGUUAUGCGGAUUUACUGGGUGUAAAGGGCGUGUAGGCGGGACUGCAAGUCAGAUGUGAAAACCACGGGCUCAACCUGUGGCCUGCAUUUGAAACUGUAGUUCUUGAGUGCUGGAGAGGCAGGCGGAAUUCCUGGUGUAGCGGUGAAAUGCGUAGAUAUUAGGAAGAACUCCGGUGGCGAAGGCAGUCUGCUGGACAGCAACUGACGCUGAGGCGCGAAAGCGUGGGGAGCGAACAGGAUUAGAUACCCUGGUAGUC
This 443-nucleotide ribosomal RNA is filed under the name uncultured bacterium. Its description in RNAcentral is "partial 16S ribosomal RNA". It matches the Rfam family "Bacterial small subunit ribosomal RNA", at positions 338 to 795 of the family's 1533-position model. The record is from RNAcentral.